GAGGAUAUAGCUCAGUGGUAGAGCACAUGCCUAGCAUGCAUGAGGUCUUGGGUUCAAUCCUCAGUGCCUCCA
RNAcentral lists this transfer RNA (72 nucleotides) under Camelus bactrianus (Bactrian camel). It matches the Rfam family "tRNA". From Rfam's summary of the family: Transfer RNA (tRNA) molecules are approximately 80 nucleotides in length. Their secondary structure includes four short double-helical elements and three loops (D, anti-codon, and T loops). Further hydrogen bonds mediate the characteristic L-shaped molecular structure. tRNAs have two regions of fundamental functional importance: the anti-codon, which is responsible for specific mRNA codon recognition, and the 3' end, to which the tRNAs corresponding amino acid is attached (by aminoacyl-tRNA synthetases). tRNAs cope with the degeneracy of the genetic code in two manners: having more than one tRNA (with a specific anti-codon) for a particular amino acid; and 'wobble' base-pairing, i.e. permitting non-standard base-pairing at the 3rd anti-codon position. The record is from Rfam by way of RNAcentral. Lineage: Eukaryota; Metazoa; Chordata; Mammalia; Artiodactyla; Camelidae. RNAcentral also lists the same sequence under 1 other name.